Molecule: ribosomal RNA, 301 nt
Filed under: uncultured bacterium
Lineage: Bacteria
Description: partial 16S ribosomal RNA
Rfam family: Bacterial small subunit ribosomal RNA
Source: RNAcentral
CAGUAGCCGCGGGAAAACGAAGGUCCCAAGCGUUGUUCGGAAUCACUGGGCGUAAAGGGAGCGUAGGCGGCGUGGUAAGUCAGAUGUGAAAUCCCGGGGCUCAACCCCGGAACUGCAUCCGAUACUGCCAUGCUUGAGGGUUGGAGAGGUAGCUGGAAUUCUUGGUGUAGCAGUGAAAUGCGUGGAUAUCAAGAGGAACACUCGUGGCGAAGGCGAGCUACUGGACAACAUCUGACGCUGAGGCUCGAAGGCCAGGGUAGCGAAAGGGAUUAGAGACCCCCGUAGUCCCUGUCUCUUAUAC